Molecule: ribosomal RNA, 253 nt
Filed under: uncultured bacterium
Lineage: Bacteria
Description: partial 16S ribosomal RNA
Rfam family: Bacterial small subunit ribosomal RNA
Source: RNAcentral
UACAGAGGUCUCAAGCGUUGUUCGGAUUCAUUGGGCGUAAAGGGUGUGUAGGUGGCGCCGUAAGUCGGGUGUGAAAUUUCGGAGCUUAACUCCGAAACUGCAUUCGAUACUGCGGUGCUUGAGGACUGGAGAGGAGACUGGAAUUCAUGGUGUAGCAGUGAAAUGCGUAGAGAUCAUGGGGAAGACCAGUGGCGAAGGCGGGUCUCUGGACAGUUCCUGACACUGAGACACGAAGGCCAGGGGAGCAAACGGG